This 780-nucleotide non-coding RNA is filed under the name Phraortes lianzhouensis. Lineage: Eukaryota; Metazoa; Arthropoda; Insecta; Phasmatodea; Lonchodidae. The record is from RNAcentral.
CUUUAAUUAGUACUAAUUUUUAAUUUAUUUUUUUAUUGAUCAGUUUGAUUCUGGCUUUAAUUUAUUAAUUAUUUAUAAAUUUUAUACAUGUAUAUAUUUGGGUAAUAAAUUUAUUUUAUGGCAGUAUUUAGUAUUAAAUAUGAAGUUAUUUUUGAUUUGGUUAUAUAAUAUAAUAUUGUAAAAGUUUGUGCCAGCAUACGCGGUUAUACAAUAAAUGUUAAUUAAUAUUUUUGGGAUAGAUUAGUUAAAUUGAUUUUUGAAAUUAUUAUUUUAUUUUUUUGGUGAAAUUUAAAAUUUUAUUAAUUUUAUUUUGAUUCUUUAAAAUUUAAGAUUUAAACUAGGAUUAGAUACCCUAUUAUUUUGAAUAUAAUUAUUUCCUAGGUAGUAAUAGUUUCGUUCUUUAAACCUAAAGAAUUUGGCGGUGUUUUAUUCUUGUUAGAGGAACCUGUUCCGUAAUCGAUAGUCCUCGUUUUAUCUUUCUAUAAUUAUUUGUUUGUAUAUCGCCGUUAUAAGCAAAUUUUUUUAGACUAUUUGCUUAAAAAGAUAUUUUUUUAUAUUUCAGGUCAAGGUGCAGCUUAUAUUAUAGUGGAAAUGGGUUACAUUCUAGUUGUUGAUCAGAUAUAGAUUUUAUAAUUUUAUUGAAGUUGGAUUUAAUAGUAAAUGUAGUUAUAGAUCUAUAUUGAUUAUAGUUCUAAAAUGAGUACAUAUCGCCCGUCACUCUCAUUUUUGAGAUAAGUCGUAACAAAGUAAGUGUACUGGAAAGUGUGCUUAGGUUGAAUA